AAUCCUUUAACGAGGAACUAUUGGAGGGCAAGUCUGGUGCCAGCAGCCGCGGUAAUUCCAGCUCCAAUAGCGUAUAUUAAAGUUGUUGCGUCUAAAAAGCUCGUAGUUUGAAAACUUGCCUUGGCUUACAACAGACGUCUAAGGGCGUCACCGUUUGUCGAGAGCAAAUAUGGGUGACUGUUCUUGCCUUCUUCACUGAUUGGCUCGUAAAAGUCAUCGAAGAUCACUUUGAUUAAAUUAGGGUGCUCAAAGCAAGUGUGCUACUUGAAUAUGAAUGCAUGGAAUGAUGGAAUAUGUUGUUGUUCUAUUUGUUGGUUUUUUGAAUGACGAAAUGAUUGAAAGGAACUGUUGGGGGCAUUCGUAUUGUUGUGAGAGAGGUGAAAUUCUUAGACCAUAGCAAGACGAACUACUGCGAAAGCAUUUGCCAAGAAUGUUUUCAUUGAUCAAGAACGAAAGUUAGAGGUUCGAAGGCGAUCAGAUACCGCCCUAGUUCUAACCAUAAACUAUGCCGACUAGCAAUUUGCUUUGUAUUUUUAUGACUAAGUGAGAGGCCACGGGAAACCAAAGUAGGGUUAUGGGGGAAGUAUGGUUGCAAAGCUGAAACUUAAAGGAAUUGACGGAAGGGCACCACCAGGAGUGGAGCCUGCGGCUUAAUUUGACUCAACACGGGAAAACUUACCUGGUCCUGACACUAGAAGGAUUGACAGAUUGAUAGCUCUUUCUUGAUUUGGUGGAUGGUGGUGCAUGGCCGUUCUUAGUUGGUGGAGUGAUUUGUCUGGUUAAUUCCGAUAACGAACGAGACUCUAGCCUAUUAAAUAAUAUGCGGAAUCAAUUUCUCCCGCGUUAUUUCUUAAUGGGAUCAAGCGUGUUUAACGCUUUGAAACAGAGCAAUAACAGGUCUGUGAUGCCCUUAGAUGUUCGGGGCUGCACGCGCGCUACAUUGAAGAACAAAGUGAGCCCUCUGGCUUUUAACAAAGCUAGAAAUCUUUUAAUGUUCUUCUUAAUGGGGAUAGGGGAUUGCAAUUGUGCCCCUUGAACGAGGAAUUCCCAGUAAGUGCUAGUCAUUAGCUAGUACUGAUUACGUCCCUGCCCUUUGUACACACCGCCCGUCGCUACUACCGAUUGAAUAGUUUAGUGAGAUCAUCUGAGUGUUUGUAUGUGCAUUCUGUGCUUGUAUGGUGUACGAAGAAGAUCAAACUUGAUUAUUUAGAGGAAGUAAAAGUCGUAACAAGGUUUCCGUAGGUGAACCUGCGGAAG
This 1257-nucleotide ribosomal RNA is filed under the name metagenome. RNAcentral's name for it is "SSU rRNA". It matches the Rfam family "Eukaryotic small subunit ribosomal RNA", at positions 528 to 1823 of the family's 1831-position model. The record is from RNAcentral.